This 1921-nucleotide long non-coding RNA is filed under the name Homo sapiens (human). RNAcentral's name for it is "HSALNT0279114". The record is from RNAcentral. Lineage: Eukaryota; Metazoa; Chordata; Mammalia; Primates; Hominidae.
CGCGCUUCCCGGGCUGCAGCAAGCGUCGCCCGGCAGGCAGGGGACCUCAGGAACAGAAGCUCUGUCUGAGACCAGGGCCCUUUCCUAUGGUGUGACUUCAGGCGGGUUCUUCCAGCUCGCGGUCCCUUGGGAUGGAGCUGCAGCCCGCAGGAUCCAGCCAGCGGGAACUGGGGCUGCCUCGUGCCCUUGACUUUCCUGGUGAUGGAUGAGCUCAGGUCCCCACACGUUCGCCUGGGCCUCCCUUCUUCCCCAUAUGUCCCCCAAAUGCAGGUCUGCCUGGGCAUGGGCAUCCAUCACAGGUGUCGGGGGGUGUAGAGGGGGCCUCCUUACAGUCAGGCUGUACGGGAGGCUGUGAGCUCACCUAACCCCCCACAUCUUCAGAAAGCAGGGCGACGUGUGCCCAGGGGGAAGAUAGAUGUUUGGGGACCAGGCUUGGCUGCAGCACUUACAGUCACAUGAUGUCAGAUGGCCCCUCAGGCCUCUCUGAGCCUGAGUCCUCAGCUGGAAAUGGCAGGCUGCUAUUCAUUACGGUAUUCAUUCAACAAACCUUUCCAGUGCCUCCUGAGAGUCGUUCUGUUCUAGGGGUUGGGGACACAGCCAUGAGCAGAACACCCAGCCCUACCCUGAGGAGCUGAAAUUCCAGUGGAAGAGCCAGUGUUGGAAAAGUCCCUGGCACACCAUGGCUAUUGGAUUUAAUAUUUAUGAGUAUCAUCAGAGAACACAAACAUGGCUCUACCAACUGCCAAGUAAUCCCGGCCUGAGGAAUUGGCCCCAAGGAGCUCAUCCUUGAAGGACGAGGCCACAGGUAGAAAGCAGUGUUUUCAAUGCAGAGUUCUUCACACGGUGAAAACCUGGAUCAAAUACCCCUCUGUGGAGAGCUGAUCUAGUGAAGAACGGUUCCUCAUUUGAAGGAAUAUUAUGAGGCAUUCAAAAUCAUAAUUACAAAGCAAAGUACAUAACCACAUACAAUGUUUAUGGGGUACAAUUGCACACACGCAGUGUUUGCAGGUGAGGAAAACUGUGUGUGGGGACAAGGACUGUGCAUGUGUGUGCAUGCGUGUGUGUGCACGCAUGUGUGUGCAUGUGUGUGCACAGGGGCUGGGAAAGGCAAGCAGAGAGAGAAGAGCAGCUGGUAUACUUGGGCAGCAGGGUUGAAUCCGCCACUAGUCACGGGCUCGCACACGGGCACAGCCGCGGCAGAUGGACCUGGCCUGGCUCUGUCGUGACAGCUGUGGCUCUUCAGCCACACACUGUGUGACCCCUCUCCUCCUGGUAACAUCGGUUCCUUAUUACCCUGGACACUGUCUUCUCUGGAGCAUGUGGCAUCAUGCUUCGCCCUCUCCAAAUGCAGCUGCUGCCUCGGGCCUUUUCAUCCUGGGUGCAGAAGUGUGACGAUGCAAAGUGGUGCCUGUCACUUUUUGCUCCCUAUGUGGGGGCUGCUGAGGGUUUUCAUCAGGCACUUUCUGCUUCCCGGACUCCCGAGCUGCCUGGCCCCUGCCUGUCUCCUCACCUGGCUCUCCGGACAGCCCUCCGGGUCUGAGCUGCCCAGGAUGCCUCCUGCUGAUGCUACAUAGCCACACCCUGCUGCCUGCAAUCAAAGAGCCACAGGGGCACAGAGCCUGGCACCGGGAGUCAGAUGCCAGGCCCACAGCCAGGAGUGGACUCCACCAAGGCAGCCUGGAGGAGGUUAGGGGAGGCUGGCCGGCUGGGGGAAGGGGAAUCCUGGUGGCCCUGCGGAACUCUGGGAUUAGGAAUGUGAGUUCUGACAGUGCGGAGUGUAUGAAAGCAUCAGGUGUGGCUGUACCUGCCUCUGUGGGAUGCUGCCACGCUGAGGCCGGCUUCGCUGGCCUGGCCCCUGUGGAAGCAGAAAUGUGGGAAAAAUAUCAAAUAGCCAAGAGAAACCUUUUUUGCCUGAAGCCUG